RNAcentral lists this small RNA (532 nucleotides) under Pan troglodytes (chimpanzee). RNAcentral describes it as "retained intron". Lineage: Eukaryota; Metazoa; Chordata; Mammalia; Primates; Hominidae. The record is from RNAcentral.
CCUUAAAUUAAUUCUGGGUUAUGCUUGUUUCUCAGUUACUCUUUCAACCUGAUCAGAACGCACCACCAAUUCGUCUCCGACACAGACGAUCACGCUCUGCAGGAGACAGAUGGGUAGAUCAUAAGCCCGCCUCUAACAUGCAAACUGAAACAGUCAUGCAGCCACAUGUCCCUCAUGCCAUCACAGUAUCUGUUGCAAAUGAAAAGGCACUAGCUAAGUGUGAGAAGUACAUGCUGACCCACCAGGAACUAGCCUCCGAUGGGGAGAUUGAAACUAAACUAAUUAAGGGUGAUAUUUAUAAAACAAGGGGUGGUGGACAAUCUGUUCAGUUUACUGAUAUUGAGACUUUAAAGCAAGAAUCACCAAAUGGUAGUCGAAAACGAAGAUCUUCCACAGUAGCACCUGCCCAACCAGAUGGUGCAGAGUCUGAAUGGACCGAUGUAGAAACAAGGUGUUCUGUGGCUGUGGAGAUGAGAGCAGGAUCCCAGCUGGGACCUGGAUAUCAGCAUCACGCACAACCCAAGUGAGUACU